RNAcentral lists this non-coding RNA (203 nucleotides) under Clostridium perfringens. Its description in RNAcentral is "glmS glucosamine-6-phosphate activated ribozyme". It matches the Rfam family "glmS glucosamine-6-phosphate activated ribozyme aptamer". From Rfam's summary of the family: This entry contains a glucosamine-6-phosphate activated ribozyme that is found in the mRNA for GlmS. The record is from RNAcentral. Lineage: Bacteria; Bacillati; Bacillota; Clostridia; Eubacteriales; Clostridiaceae.
UAGAUUAAAGCGCCAGAACUUAAAGUUUUAUUGAUAGACUAAUAAGUAAUUUAACUCUAGUAGAUUAAAAUAUAUUAGAAUUCUUAAGAGUUUAAGUUGACGAGGUUGGGGAGUAUCGAAUUUUCGGCGGAUGCCCCACGGUAAAGCACUACCGUAAAAGAUUGGUUAAAACUUAAAAGUGAUUUUAAGGACAAAGCCAAUUG